Molecule: long non-coding RNA, 1186 nt
Filed under: Vulpes vulpes (red fox)
Lineage: Eukaryota; Metazoa; Chordata; Mammalia; Carnivora; Canidae
Description: lncRNA (ENSVVUG00000025346.1)
Source: RNAcentral
CCAGACCUCACUGGCUGCCCACUCUCCGGGCCGAGCUCAGCCAGCCAGGCCACGGUGCCUUUGGACGUCGGAUGUGACCAGGUGAGAAUGGUGGUGGCCGGCCGCUGGGGCCUCCGAGGGCCCGAGAAGGCGGGUCUCCGUGGACAUAAGCUCGGCCACCCUUGGGCCUUGGUGCCCCACAGAUCCGGGCCCUGGGAUGACUGCUCCAUCCCAAGUGGACAAAACCUCACCUUCUUUGGAGAACAGUGGACAGGGGCCCUAACAGGCCUAGAAGAAAAGAAAUGUCUUUUGGAAAUGCCUUUUUGAAAUGGAAUUGUUAGACCACCUCUAGAAGCGACAUCAGGAGUGACACACGUCCAUGUUUGUGCAGUGGGUGAGAGGACAUAAAGUAGACAACCCUGAGGAGGAAGAAAAGAAGGUUCUGUGCCAGACUGGUCAUAUUUAGAAGACAUUUUCAUAUUAUAACCAUUGUUUUGUGUGUGCAUUUUAUUCCUCAACUACUGUGUAUAUAGUUGACAAUGCUAAGUACCUUUUCAAAUAUCUAAUCUUCCUAGAGGUUCUGAAGUGCCUGAUACAUGUUAAAAAAUAGAGGUAGUAAAAAGCCAUUUUGAAAAUAUCUUCAUUGAACAUUCAUAUGAAGUGCUGUUUAAUUCGGGGGAACGGCCAAGCCACCUCUUUGAAUAGUAUGCAUUGUGUUUGUGCACUGGCUCAAAGGAGGAGGGAGGAGAAGGUGCAAAGAACUCUGCCAGUGUGUUUAUAGCAAGGGAAGACUAACCAUUGUCCUCUAUGUUCCUGCAUUUUGUUUUACUUAGCUGUGUAUAUAGCAUAUACACUGGACAAAUGAGUCCUAAUUUUCAACAUCUAGUCUUUCCAGAUGUUAAAGAGGUUGCCAGAGUAUGACAAAAAUAGUAAAUGAAUAUGUUUUGUACGUUUUGUGUUAAAAUUCCUAGAAAGAUUGUCUUCUGAAAAUUGGAGCAUUUUAUCACAGAGUUGCUAGAGGAAGGAGGGAAGAGAAGGGUUAGUCUUAGGCUAGAAUGUUCUUAUUUUGAAGACACUUUCAAAUUACAACUGUUACAUGUGUACAGUUUAUUCAACACUGCUAUGUAUACAGUGGACACAUUAAGUCCUUAUUUUAAAACAUCUAAAGUCUGCAUGUUUAGAAGUGCCCAACAUAUGUUAAAUGCAG